RNAcentral lists this ribosomal RNA (433 nucleotides) under uncultured bacterium. Its description in RNAcentral is "partial 16S ribosomal RNA". It matches the Rfam family "Bacterial small subunit ribosomal RNA", at positions 29 to 507 of the family's 1533-position model. The record is from RNAcentral.
AACGAACGCUGGCGGCAUGCCUAACACAUGCAAGUCGAACGAGACCUUCGGGUCUAGUUGCGCACGGGUGCGUAACGCGUGGGAACCUGCCCUUAGGUUCGGAAUAACUCCCCGAAAGGGGUGCUAAUACCGGAUAAUGUCUUCGGACCAAAGAUUUAUCGCCGUUGGAUGGGCCCGCGUUGGAUUAGCUAGUUGGUAGGGUAACAGCCUACCAAGGCGACGAUCCAUAGCUGGUCUGAGAGGAUGAUCAGCCACACUGGGACUGAGACACGGCCCAGACUCCUACGGGCGGCAGCAGUGGGGAAUGUUGGACAAGGGGCAAAAGCCUAAUCCAGCAAUGCCGCGUGAGUGAUGAAGGCCUUAGGGUUGUAAAGCUCUUUUACCCGGGAUGAUAAUGACAGUACCGGGAGAAUAAGCUCCGGCUAACUCCGUG